This 170-nucleotide ribosomal RNA is filed under the name uncultured Bacillus sp. RNAcentral describes it as "partial 16S ribosomal RNA". It matches the Rfam family "Bacterial small subunit ribosomal RNA", at positions 364 to 525 of the family's 1533-position model. The record is from RNAcentral. Lineage: Bacteria; Bacillati; Bacillota; Bacilli; Caryophanales; Bacillaceae.
UUCCGCAAUGGACGAAAGUCUGACGGAGCAACGCCGCGUGAGUGAUGAAGGUUUUCGGAUCGUAAAGCUCUGUUGUUAGGGAAGAACAAGUGCCGUUCAAAUAGGGCGGCACCUUGACGGUACCUAACCAGAAAGCCACGGCUAACUACGUGCCAGCAGCCGCGGUAAUA